Molecule: ribosomal RNA, 439 nt
Filed under: uncultured bacterium
Lineage: Bacteria
Description: partial 16S ribosomal RNA
Rfam family: Bacterial small subunit ribosomal RNA
Source: RNAcentral
CCUACGGGUGGCAGCAGUGAGGAAUAUUGGGCAAUGGAGGCAACUCUGACCCAGCCAUGCCGCGUGAGUGAAGAAGGUUUUCGGAUUGUAAAGCUCUUUCUGAUGUGACGAUGAUGACGGUAGCAUCUAAAGAAGCCCCGUCUAACUACGUGCCAGCAGCCGCGGUAAUACGGAGGGGCAAGCGUUGAUCGGGAUUACUGGGCGUAAAGGGAGUUUAGGCGGGUUAGUAAGAUAGUGGUGAAAUCCCAGGGCUUAACUUUGGAAUUGCCAUUAUAACUAUUAGACUAGAAUUACAGAGAGGAUAGUGGAAUACGCGGUGUAGAGGUGAAAUUCGUAGAUAUUGGGUAGAACCCCAGUUGCGAAGGCGACUAUCUGGCUGUACAUUGACGCUGAGGCACGAAAGCAUGGGGAUCAAACAGGAUUAGAUACCCUUGUAGUC